GGAGAGGUGGCAGAGUGGCCGAUUGCAUACGCUUGGAAAGCGUAGGUGUCAGCAAUGGCACCGAGGGUUCGAAUCCCUCCCUCUCCGCCA
Molecule: transfer RNA, 90 nt
Filed under: Planctomycetota bacterium
Lineage: Bacteria; Pseudomonadati; Planctomycetota
Description: Planctomycetes bacterium (bioreactor metagenome) tRNA-Ser
Rfam family: tRNA
About the family: Transfer RNA (tRNA) molecules are approximately 80 nucleotides in length. Their secondary structure includes four short double-helical elements and three loops (D, anti-codon, and T loops).
Source: RNAcentral